Molecule: ribosomal RNA, 253 nt
Filed under: uncultured bacterium
Lineage: Bacteria
Description: partial 16S ribosomal RNA
Rfam family: Bacterial small subunit ribosomal RNA
Source: RNAcentral
UACAGGGGGUGCAAACGUUGCUCGGAAUUAUUGGGCGUAAAGCGCGCGUAGGCGGCUACUUAAGUCGGAUGUGAAAGCCCCUGGCUCAACUGGGGAAGUGCACCCGAAACUGAGUGGCUUGAGUACUAAAGAGGGUCGCGGAAUUCCCGGUGUAGAGGUGAAAUUCGUAGAUAUCGGGAGGAACACCGAUGGCGAAGGCAGCCCCCUGGGCUAACACUGACGCUCAUGCACGAAAGCGUGGGGAGCAAACAGG